Molecule: unclassified non-coding RNA, 2597 nt
Filed under: Leishmania donovani
Lineage: Eukaryota; Euglenozoa; Kinetoplastea; Trypanosomatida; Trypanosomatidae
Description: gene:unknown
Source: RNAcentral
GCGCGAAAAAGUUUCCGUGUGCGCAAGAACGAAAAAAAAACCAAAGACUUACACGCUCACGAGACCAGUACCACAGUGCGGUACCCCAGCCCCUCCAGCCCCGCACCGAUAGCGCGCCCAUGGGCAGCAGCUGAACUCUCCGAGAAGACAACCGCCCAAGCGGUGUCACAGUCGCCCCUCUUUUUUGUCUUGCGUGCGCGUCCCCCGCUCUCUACCGCCCCACCGCACCUUCCCUGUCGCGGGCGGCGUCCCCUGCGUCUUCAUCAAGCAGUUUUUCCCCUCCUCGGUGGCCCCUCUGCAGCCGCGCCUCUUCCUACAUUCCUUUAAAAAAAGCCCCCCCCCCCCCUCUCUCCCUUCCCGCGAACACGGCGGUGCCGUCGGAGCACAAAUACGUUUGCUGCCAGAUGCCAGGGCCUCUCGGUGCACAGCAAGCGCAAGGCCACCUGCUCGGUGUGCCUGGCGACUGGAGCCAGCGCUUCCGGGGCGACUUUGGCUGCGCGUAAGGCUCUGUCGUGGGCCGGGUGCGCGAACGGGCUGAACAAGGUGGCCGACUCGUGCGCUGAAAACUGUCCGGCGCUCCGCAACGUUGGCGGACCAGCGAAAAAGAUGGAGAGAAUGCUCCUCACUGUGCACAGCACACCGGGAGAUGAUGCCUGCGAGCCUUUUUUGUUGCGCGCGCGUUCCGAGUUGGCGUGACUUGCGCGUUUCGUUCAAACCUUUCGAACGCACCGCCAGCGAUCGACGGCAUCGUCGAUGUGAUGCUACUAAAUCGGAAGCCGCACCACAUCUUGCUGGCCAUGGAUGCCACGAUGGCGCCUACGGAGGUGCUGGGCGCUCUCAAGGCUAUCGUGGAGGAUAUGAAAGAUGCUAAGACGACGGUGCUGCAUGUGGGCUGUCCUGUGUGAUCGUUUUGAAUGAAGUUAGGCGACGCAGGCCCUCGUUGAGGACGCCUGUAUCCCCUUGGCGUGCUUUGUGAGCAGUUCCGCCAAGGUGUUCAGAAGUACGGCGAUAGGGGGACCACUCAUGCCCGUUUGCCAGGCGGUGGAGGAGGCAGAGGUUGGCGUGAGUUUUGCGCAGCGUUCCCUGGCUGCGGCUCCGGGGGUCGUCUUGUGCAAAAAUGGGCAGUCGAGAUCGUGCCGACACUCAGCCCUUCGUGCGCACCGUGGGGGAGGGGGGAGCAGGAGGAGGAGGAGGGUGGGUGGGGGACGGAGUUCUCUCCGCGUUGCAUGAGAUGUGCGGUGGCGGCGGUGCGUGCAAUCGCGAAGAGACGCUGCGCUCACUCGACGGCAAAGACGUUGGGAAAACCCGCCGGCGUUUCCUGCAGGGGAGGGCGACACAUUCUCGCAGAGGCACUUCUGGGAUAAGGUGCAGAUCGGCUUGACGGAGAACGGCAUCUUUGCGAUCGACCAGGGGUGUGCGCAGCCGCGCCAGAACCGGGUUGGUAUUGCCCAAGGGCGGUCUUGUGUGCGCGCAUGUGGGGCUCGGCCGGCUAAGUGCUACCCGCUGCGUUCGAGGGGCACGUGUCGGAGCCGCGGCGCCGAGUUGUUCUCAUAUGAGGCGGAUGACGCCGUUGCGAUGACGGUGCAGGGGCUCUUCUCCUUCCUGCAGCCGUGGGCCGCAUCCACACGUCCUCUUGGUGGGCAGCAAUGGCGACGUGGCGAAACGUGUAGUUCUCGCAGGUUGUAGGAGAGCUGCAUGGACAUCGCGUCAUGCAACUGGUGCGCAGUGAUGAAAAGUAUGCGGAGCGGCAACGAGGCUGCGAUUCCGGUGAUGCCAGUCCCCUCGUGUGACAGCGCCGGCUCUGCGCGAGCGUCACGUAUUAGCGAAGAAGCUGGUGUUUGUGUAGGUGACAAGGGCUUCCCGGGAGCUGCCGUGGAGCACAUGAGUGAGCUGGUACACUCCGAAAGCUCUGGUGCACAGUUGCGUCGUGCCAGUCCGCCUGCAUGUUUUUUUCUUGUAUUGAGAAAAUUGCGGUUGGCUGCGACGACGCUUCUGUGUGUGCUGGCGGUCGCGUAGCCGUACAAGGGGCCUGUCUAUGCCCGUGUGCGUGCGUCUGAUAAAAAGCAAGAUGGCGGUGGGGACGGCGUGGCACGAGUACCGGCAGAAUUCGCACGCCCCGUAUUUGGCGAUGUGCGAAGCAAAGUGGUGUUGUCUCUUGUGCUCGUGGUCACGUUGUUCUUCUCCAUCCACUUUUUUCCUUGACGGACGGAGGGGGAGGGGAGUGAAGUCCAGUGGCCUCGUCUCUUCCUUCACUGCCGUUUGUUUGCCACUGGGCUACGAGACCGUCUUUUUCAUGUUUUUUUUUUUUUAACUGCGCUACGGUCUCUGUGUGCAUUUGUGGAAGGAGGAAGGAGGGGCUUUAGAGCCACCGACACCGUCUCGAUCCUUCUGUACUCGGGCCAUGCUGAUGCGGCUGUCCUCUCUCCGCUGACCCUGGUAAUUCGUUUUGUUCCUCUUUCGCUUUUCUGAUGGAACGGCCCACGCUGGUGUCCCGACUUCCCCGUUACCUUUUCUCGCGCAGCGUAGUGAUAUGGACAAAGAGAGUGGCGAGAGACACACCGCGAUGAAACCCGUGCGCAGCUAUACGGGGAUAUUGG